Long non-coding RNA from Rhipicephalus sanguineus (brown dog tick), 719 nucleotides. RefSeq lists it as uncharacterized. Lineage: Eukaryota; Metazoa; Arthropoda; Arachnida; Ixodida; Ixodidae. The record is from RefSeq and is a predicted model, not a curated record. The transcript has 3 exons.
UGCUUUCCUUGGCUUCAUUGUCCACUGGCUUCAUAAGGUUGACUGGAAGUUAUGGUUAUAGAUAGCUUGCGUCCACUUUAGCACGACGCGUGCAGCUGCGGCGCAUCUGCUCCACGAAUUCCCACAAUACUAGCAGCCCUCGAUAAAGAAACUCUGCGCAGCUGCUUGAACUGGCUGGAUAGGCGUCCCUCUUGCUUGGUCAAGGUCCGCGGUCCGUAGUCGUCCACCGAACAGAUAAGGAGAAGCAGUCACAACACUUCGUGGCAUUCUGUACCAGAUAAGGCUGUACUCCUCGAAUACCAGGUCUUCUACUAAAGAAAAAGUUGAGUAAGACAACCGCGGUUCUCGAGGUGGGUGAUUUCCUUAUUCCAGGUAGCCAUGGCUUGCAGCUGAUGCCAGAGCCCUGUCCACCAGUCGGAGCUGGUCCUCAGGGUUUAGUGACGUCAGCAACGCCUCCCACUGGUCUUCCGGAUUUUCUUAGAUGCUCUGUUCGUCUAUGGGCGGGAUACUUGGGUUGUUUCGGCAUCCCCAUACCAUGUGGUAAAGGGUGUUAGCACUCUCCGGACAGUACUUCAGCAGCGUUAUCGGAAGAAAAUUAAUAAUAAAGGAGUUCUAAUGCUCACAUAUAACGUACUUAGCCUCCUUGCCAAUGUGAAUUACGCAUUAACGUAAAUAUUGAAGAGCAGAGGCCCUAAGAGACUGCCUUGUGGCAGGGGCGU